This 500-nucleotide ribosomal RNA is filed under the name uncultured bacterium. Its description in RNAcentral is "partial 16S ribosomal RNA". It matches the Rfam family "Bacterial small subunit ribosomal RNA", at positions 30 to 523 of the family's 1533-position model. The record is from RNAcentral.
AUUGAACGCUGGCGGAAUGCUUUACACAUGCAAGUCGAACGGCAGCACGGACUUCGGUCUGGUGGCGAGUGGCGAACGGGUGAGUAAUGUAUCGGAACGUGCCCAGCCGUGGGGGAUAACGUAGUGAAGAUUACGCUAAUACCGCAUACGAUCUAAGGAUGAAAGCGGGGGAUCGCAAGACCUCGCGCGAUUGGAGCGGCCGGUGGCAGAUUAGGUAGUUGGGGGGGUAAAGGCUCACCAAGCCGACGAUCUGUAGCUGGUCUGAGAGGACGACCAGCCAAACUGGGACUGAGACACGGCCCAGACUCCUACGGGAGGCAGCAGUGGGGAAUUUUGGACAAUGGGCGCAAGCCUGAUCCAGCCAUUCCGCGUGCAGGAUGAAGGCCCUCGGGUUGUAAACUGCUUUUGUACGGAACGAAAAGGCUCUGGUUAAUACCUGGGGCUCAUGACGGUACCGUAAGAAUAAGCACCGGCUAACUACGUGCCAGCAGCCGCAGUAA